Molecule: ribosomal RNA, 535 nt
Filed under: Bifidobacterium breve
Lineage: Bacteria; Bacillati; Actinomycetota; Actinomycetes; Bifidobacteriales; Bifidobacteriaceae
Description: bacterial SSU rRNA
Rfam family: Bacterial small subunit ribosomal RNA
Source: RNAcentral
UAAUGCCGGAUGCUCCAUCACACCGCAUGGUGUGUUGGGAAAGCCUUUGCGGCAUGGGAUGGGGUCGCGUCCUAUCAGCUUGAUGGCGGGGUAACGGCCCACCAUGGCUUCGACGGGUAGCCGGCCUGAGAGGGCGACCGGCCACAUUGGGACUGAGAUACGGCCCAGACUCCUACGGGAGGCAGCAGUGGGGAAUAUUGCACAAUGGGCGCAAGCCUGAUGCAGCGACGCCGCGUGAGGGAUGGAGGCCUUCGGGUUGUAAACCUCUUUUGUUAGGGAGCAAGGCAUUUUGUGUUGAGUGUACCUUUCGAAUAAGCACCGGCUAACUACGUGCCAGCAGCCGCGGUAAUACGUAGGGUGCAAGCGUUAUCCGGAAUUAUUGGGCGUAAAGGGCUCGUAGGCGGUUCGUCGCGUCCGGUGUGAAAGUCCAUCGCUUAACGGUGGAUCCGCGCCGGGUACGGGCGGGCUUGAGUGCGGUAGGGGAGACUGGAAUUCCCGGUGUAACGGUGGAAUGUGUAGAUAUCGGAAAAGAACA